Molecule: unclassified non-coding RNA, 351 nt
Filed under: soil metagenome
Description: partial contains 5.8S ribosomal RNA, internal transcribed spacer 2, and large subunit ribosomal RNA
Rfam family: 5.8S ribosomal RNA (bases 1-120)
Source: RNAcentral
GAUGAAGAACGCAGCGAAAUGCGAUAAGUAAUGUGAAUUGCAGAAUUCAGUGAAUCAUCGAAUCUUUGAACGCACAUUGCGCCCGCCAGUAUUCUGGCGGGCAUGCCUGUUCGAGCGUCAUUACAACCCUCAGGCCCCCGGGCCUGGCGUUGGGGAUCGGCGGAGCCCCCCGUGGGCACACGCCGUCCCCCAAAUACAGUGGCGGUCCCGCCGCAGCUUCCAUCGCGUAGUAGCUAACACCUCGCGACUGGAGAGCGGCGCGGCCACGCCGUAAAACACCCAACUCUUCUGAAGUUGACCUCGAAUCAGGUAGGAAUACCCGCUGAACUUAAGCAUAUCAUAAGCGGAGGA